GGGAGCGAUCGGCUGCCGCCCCGGCCUCGGCGCCGGGCGGGCCGGGGCCCCGGGAGCGCACGGACGGCCUCGCCAGCUGCUGCCACUGUGGGUACUUGCCCUUGAGUGAAAGGCCACUACUCUCACUGGCUCCCAGCUGUGACAUCCCAUCACUCCCCCUACGUCCUGGAACAGCCUGACCCAGGGUGCGAGCCCACUCAGCGGCCCUUAUGUAGUGGUGACCACUCCAACCAGCAGGAGUGGAAGAUGGUACCUGUCAACCCCAAGGCGGAGGAGGAGCCCGCAGCCGUUGCCGAGAGAUGGAGGACCCCACACCUGAGCCCGUCUAUGUCGAUGUGGACAAAGGACUGACCUUGGCCUGCUUCGUCUUCCUCUGCCUCUUCCUUGUCGUGAUGAUUAUUCGCUGUGCCAAGGUCAUCAUGGACCCUUACAGCGCCAUCCCCACAUCCACCUGGGAGGAGCAGCACCUGGACGACUGAGGCAGUGGCGAGGGAGCGAGCCCCAGUGCUCUCUGAGCAGGGGAGGCCCAGGAUGCGCUCUGUGUCCCCUGGCCAUCGGCUGCCAACCCACGGAGGCGAGAAUGGAUUCGGCCACCCGGGGUUGGAGAAGGCUCACCUUAGUCUUGUCCACUCUCACACGAGCAGCAGAGUGAAAGGCUCGGGGUGCUGGGGGUGUUGCGGUGGUGGCACAGUCUGGAGAUAAGAGCAAUGGGCCCAGAGUCAGGAGGUCCCGGGUUCUAGUCUGGGGAAUCACUCUGAGACUAUGGGGCCAUCACCUUCCCUGGGUCCUGUGCACCUUUUGGAAUUGGAUACAGAUCCCACCAUCGCACAACGGGGGUCUCAUUUUGGAGAGACUCUUGCCCUUGACAUGCAAAGCAGCACACGCCCUAGCCCUGGAGGCUCCCAGCACAGAUGUCCCAUGGGAGCCCCAGCCCCUUCCCAAGGAACCAGCAACGCAGCAGGUGGUAAAGUGAGAAAGGAGAGGGGAGGCACGUCACCUCAAAAUUCACAAAAGGCACAGGGGCAGCUUCCCAGCAGUGUUUUUUUAAACGAAAAUCUAGAUGGAGUGUAUUUUUCCAGGUAUAAAUGAAAUGUGCAUUUUAGAAGUUUGGGGACAUACAGAAAAAAUAGAAAGAAAGGAGGGAACUAACACUUAGAUUCCCAAUUCCUGGAAGCCACCACAUUGAUAUAUUUUCUCCCAGGCUUUUUUACUGAUAUAUUUUUAAAUAGUCAGAUUCAUGCUGUUUGCAGGAUGUUGUAUCACUUCAUAUUCGAGCACAAACACUUUCUCAGUGCAUCAAACUCUCUUGAUAGCCGUCGUUUUUACUGGUUGCCAAGUGUUCCAUGGGGUGGAGAGAUCACAGUUGAGUAAUCCUCUCUUUGGUCAUCCAUUUCAUUUUUUUAAUGGGCUUCUCCUCCCAUAAAAUUAGUUCACUCCGUGACCUCUUGAGAGUGCAUGGUCCCCGAGAUGAACAUUGGACAGGAAGACCUGAGUUCUAGUCCUGUCAGUCACACUAAGGCUGUGUGACCUUGAGCAAGUCGCUUAACCUCUCGGUGCCUCAGUUCUUUCAUUUGAUAAUGAGGAGGAAAAGACUUGCCUUUCUUGUUCUGUGUAAGCCUCCUGGGAGUGAAGGGACAGGAAGGGGGGGUGCUUUGAAUGUAAAUGUGCUGUGGGGGAGGGGCAAGGAAUAAGGUGUUGAUAAUGACUCUUCUUGGGGGGACUCCUUCUCCUUUUCCCACUCCUCUGAGCCCCUCUCACUGCAUCACCUGUACCUAUGACCUUGCAGCCAGAACAGGUAGGGGGUUCCCAUUGUGGCUCAGUGGUAAUGAAUCCGCCUAAUAUCAGAGCUCACAGACCUGGUCCCGAAUCCCAAGCCCUCUACUUUCUUGCUCUGUGACCCCAAAUAACUCAGCUUCUCUGAGCCCCAGGGGCCUCAUCCGCAAAAUGAGAGAAUAACAUCUACCUCACAAGGUUGUUGUGAGGAUGAAAUGAGAGAACACGGGCAAACAUUAGUGUCUUUUCUUGAUUCCACCAUUUCAGGAGAAGUCAGGGGCCUGAACUAGAGCAGUGGUGCCAGAUUCCCCCUUCCCUGCAGAGUCUCGGACCCCGGGCUUUCCCCAGCUUCCCAAGACCACUUCUGAAAGGCCAACUCUCCCAGCCAGGACUGCCGGUCAGAGGAAUACUCACAGCAAUCUCUCCUGGCACCUGACCACAAGGGAUAGGGUGUCUAUUAAUUUACAUAAUUGUCAACUGUCGCCAGUAUUCUCAUGCACAUCAGGUGAAGAUAAAUUAGACCACCUGAACUCCCCCUUCUGAAUGCAUUUAUUCCAUCCCUCCAAGGCAUGGCUGCCAUCCCCAUCAGAAGUGACCUGCAGGUCUGAAGAAGCUCAAGGCUUCCUUUUCAUCUCCUGCAUCCCAACCAUGAGUCCCCUGCCAUCUCAGGCCACACAGGUUUCCAAAGCACUGUCAGGACCAGGUGACCCCUGAAAGUGAACAAGGCCACAGCUGUUCAGGCAGCAUUCCAGGGCAUAUCCAGCUGUUGCCCCCGACUCCCGUGUGAGAUGCACAAAGGGACCUCUGGCAAAAGCAGUGGACUGAGGUGCACCGGAGGCUCUGUGUGGGAGCAAGGACCUGGAACAUUGCCUCAGGUCCAGCAGCAGCCUUCAGCCUGCAGCCUACUUCAGAGAUCCCAAGCACUUUUGUGAAAGCCUCAUCAGCAUGGGUUUGCAAUGUAAAUCAGAGCCAGCUCCCAGUCGGUUAAUAAGAGAUCCCAAGGAAUAAGAAGUGAUCUUGAAGACCUCAGUUGGAAAUACUUAGAGCUUCCAGGAGUGAAAAACAGGGUGCCAGGGGCCAUACUACUCAAAUUGCAGUGAAGGAUGAAUAGCAUCUGCCACAUUGAGGCUCUUGUUAGAAACCCCAAAUCAUGGACCCUGUCUCCAAACCUACAGAAUCACAACUGGCGGUGGUGGGGGAGGGCCCUCGAACCUAUUAGCAAGAUCUGUCAAGGGAUUAUUCGUAUGCACAUUAGAGCUUGAGAAGCACUGCCCUGGAGAUUCUUUAGUCUCUCUCUCUCUCUCUUUUUUUUUUUUUUUUUCUUUUUAGGGCCACACUUGCAGCAUUUGGAGGUUCCCAGGCUAGGGGUUGAAUCGGAGCUGCAGUUGCCAGCCUUCAGCAAUGCUGCCACAACAUUGUGGGAUCCUUGCCACAAUGCGGCCUAUACCACAACUCACAGCAAUGCCGGAUCCUUGACCCACUGAGUGAGGCCAGGGAUCGAACCCGCUUCCUCAUGGAUACUAGUCGGGUUCAUGACCACUGUGCCACAAUGGGAACUCCAGGUUUCAAAUCUUUCUUUUCUACACUUAAAUUUACUAAUAUUUCCCACCUUAUCUCAACUCGUUUUUUGGUGGCCAAGAGAGAUACUAACAUUUCAGAAAAAGACGGGAAAACAUAAAAAUCGCUCCUAAUCCAAGCCUCCACAAAACAUUGAUAUCCAUUGUGUGUCCAUGUGUUUCCUUCUAAUCCUUGUCCACAUGCAAGAUAUAUUUUUUCCAUAAAAUCCGUUGGUUACAUCAUUUAAAUUGACAGCUCUGAAUAUUACAUCAUAAGCAUGUUUCUGAUACUGUCUCCCUAUGUAUCAUUUUAGUGGCUAUAAAACAUGUCAUCUAAUGCGUGUACGUAAUUAUCCAGAUUCUUGUUAAGUACUUGGAUUUCUUUUAUUUUCCCUAUUACACGUGUUCCAAUAUAUAAAAAAUAAAGCUAAAGACAGACACAGUAACCACCCCCCCAGGGCUUGCUCAGGAUGGUGGAGAAUAAACAUGUAAAUUAUACCCCCUCUGCCUUAGAGACACACAUGGGGGAGGGAGAUCCAUCUAAGCAUUUGAUCAUAUCAACGAGCUUAUAUGAUCAAGAAAAAACAACUGAAAUUUCAAGCUUCUGUUGUUGCUUUAUGCUGCUAAAAAAUGGAGGAGAUGGUUCUUUGUCGUCGGAGCACCUUACAGUGUCCAGCCAGCUGAGACGAAGUGUGAGGCUUUGGACUGAAAAGAUCAAUUGGCCAGCAAAAGAAAUGAGAAUUUUGGAAGACUGGAAACUGGAAGAGAGCAAAUGAAAAGCAUCAGAGAAAGAGAGAGAGAGGUCUGUGGUGUUGGCCCUAAUCCAGGGUUUAAAACAAAACGUGAUCAGAGAGAAACUCCCCGCUGCAGGCAAGGGGUGAUGGAUUUUCCAGACAGCGGUGCCUCAUGGCUGAAUUUAAGUUGUUGCCUGUUCUGUGCUCUGCUACAGUCCUUUCCUGUUACUCCAAACCCUCAGUAAAGUCCGAUACAC
RNAcentral lists this long non-coding RNA (4320 nucleotides) under Sus scrofa (pig). RNAcentral describes it as "lncRNA (ENSSSCG00025051627.1)". Lineage: Eukaryota; Metazoa; Chordata; Mammalia; Artiodactyla; Suidae. The record is from RNAcentral.